CCUACGGGAGGCAGCAGUGAGGAAUAUUGGUCAAUGGACGGAAGUCUGAACCAGCCAUGCCGCGUGCAGGAAGACGGCUCUAUGAGUUGUAAACUUCUUUUGUACAAGGGUAAACCUGAAUACGUGUAUUCAGCUGAAAGUACUGUACGAAUAAGGAUCGGCUAACUCCGUGCCAGCAGCCGCGGUAAUACGGAGGAUCCAAGCGUUAUCCGGAUUUAUUGGGUUUAAAGGGUGCGUAGGCGGAUUGAUAAGUUAGAGGUGAAAUGUCCGAGCUUAACUCGGGAACUGCCGCUAAUCCUGUGGAUCGAGAGAGUAGAUGCGGUAGGCGGAAUGUAUGGUGUAGCGGGGAAAUGCUUAGAGAUCAUACAGAACACCGAUUGCGAAGGCAGCUUACCAAUCUAUAUCUGACGUUGAGGCACGAAAGCGUGGGGAGCAAACAGGAUUAGAUACCCGUGUAGUC
RNAcentral lists this ribosomal RNA (460 nucleotides) under uncultured bacterium. RNAcentral describes it as "partial 16S ribosomal RNA". It matches the Rfam family "Bacterial small subunit ribosomal RNA", at positions 338 to 795 of the family's 1533-position model. The record is from RNAcentral.